This 311-nucleotide long non-coding RNA is filed under the name Brassica napus (rape). RNAcentral's name for it is "long non-coding RNA (BNAP_LNC026979)". The record is from RNAcentral. Lineage: Eukaryota; Viridiplantae; Streptophyta; Magnoliopsida; Brassicales; Brassicaceae.
UAUAAAUACUAUAUUAAGUUAACAUAAUGUUUAAUAUUUUUCAAAAAUUAAAAAAUAAACAACAAAAAGAAUAAUUAAUUUAAAAAUACAAGACUUUCAAACAAGUAUAACUAUAUAAAUCUAAAUUUAAACUCAUGAUUUUCAAAGUUUAGGUUAUAUACUAUUAAAAAUAUUCAAACUAACAUAUACUAUAUAUAAGUUGAUAUUAUAAAUCAUUGAGAAUGUUCACAUAUUAUUUUAAAACACCAAAAAUAUACCAAAUCGUUUUCAAUUUGGUAUUUCUAAAAAUGUUAAUAUUACGAAAUUUUUUA